CGGGGCGUAGCUCAGUUGGCUAGAGUGCCUGCUUUGGGAGCAGGAGGCCGCGCGUUCGAGUCGCGCCGCCCCGACCA
RNAcentral lists this transfer RNA (77 nucleotides) under Candidatus Peregrinibacteria bacterium CG1_02_54_53. RNAcentral describes it as "tRNA-Pro". It matches the Rfam family "tRNA". From Rfam's summary of the family: Transfer RNA (tRNA) molecules are approximately 80 nucleotides in length. Their secondary structure includes four short double-helical elements and three loops (D, anti-codon, and T loops). RNAcentral also lists the same sequence under 1 other name. Lineage: Bacteria; Candidatus Peregrinibacteriota. The record is from RNAcentral.